RNAcentral lists this ribosomal RNA (1050 nucleotides) under Staphylococcus aureus. Its description in RNAcentral is "partial 23S ribosomal RNA". It matches the Rfam family "Bacterial large subunit ribosomal RNA", at positions 513 to 1567 of the family's 2925-position model. The record is from RNAcentral. Lineage: Bacteria; Bacillati; Bacillota; Bacilli; Caryophanales; Staphylococcaceae.
GGUGAAAAGCACCCCGGAAGGGGAGUGAAAUAGAACCUGAAACCGUGUGCUUACAAGUAGUCAGAGCCCGUUAAUGGGUGAUGGCGUGCCUUUUGUAGAAUGAACCGGCGAGUUACGAUUUGAUGCAAGGUUAAGCAGUAAAUGUGGAGCCGUAGCGAAAGCGAGUCUGAAUAGGGCGUUUAGUAUUUGGUCGUAGACCCGAAACCAGGUGAUCUACCCUUGGUCAGGUUGAAGUUCAGGUAACACUGAAUGGAGGACCGAACCGACUUACGUUGAAAAGUGAGCGGAUGAACUGAGGGUAGCGGAGAAAUUCCAAUCGAACCUGGAGAUAGCUGGUUCUCUCCGAAAUAGCUUUAGGGCUAGCCUCAAGUGAUGAUUAUUGGAGGUAGAGCACUGUUUGGACGAGGGGCCCCUCUCGGGUUACCGAAUUCAGACAAACUCCGAAUGCCAAUUAAUUUAACUUGGGAGUCAGAACAUGGGUGAUAAGGUCCGUGUUCGAAAGGGAAACAGCCCAGACCACCAGCUAAGGUCCCAAAAUAUAUGUUAAGUGGAAAAGGAUGUGGCGUUGCCCAGACAACUAGGAUGUUGGCUUAGAAGCAGCCAUCAUUUAAAGAGUGCGUAAUAGCUCACUAGUCGAGUGACACUGCGCCGAAAAUGUACCGGGGCUAAACAUAUUACCGAAGCUGUGGAUUGUCCUUUGGACAAUGGUAGGAGAGCGUUCUAAGGGCGUUGAAGCAUGAUCGUAAGGACAUGUGGAGCGCUUAGAAGUGAGAAUGCCGGUGUGAGUAGCGAAAGACGGGUGAGAAUCCCGUCCACCGAUUGACUAAGGUUUCCAGAGGAAGGCUCGUCCGCUCUGGGUUAGUCGGGUCCUAAGCUGAGGCCGACAGGCGUAGGCGAUGGAUAACAGGUUGAUAUUCCUGUACCACCUAUAAUCGUUUUAAUCGAUGGGGGGACGCAGUAGGAUAGGCGAAGCGUGCGAUUGGAUUGCACGUCUAAGCAGUAAGGCUGAGUAUUAGGCAAAUCCGGUACUCAUUAAGGCUGAGCUGUGAU